Austrofundulus limnaeus is the source of this 351-nucleotide long non-coding RNA. RefSeq lists it as uncharacterized. The transcript has 3 exons. Lineage: Eukaryota; Metazoa; Chordata; Actinopteri; Cyprinodontiformes; Rivulidae. The record is from RefSeq and is a predicted model, not a curated record.
CUCACCUGUCCUGGAUGAUGGCUGAUGAGCUGGGCUGACUAUUUAAGCUUCUGGGAGAGAUCCAUUCCUCGCCGGAUUAUUCAGUAACCUUGGAAUCUUCAAGUAGAGUCGUUGACUCACCUACCUUGGAACUCAACUCCUCGUGCCUGGAUCUCCAACCCCGUCAGACCUCAGCCAAAGCCUCUGCCUCUCCGCCUACCUUGGAACACACUCUCAGACCUGGAAAACAAGAGCACACCGAAAUACUCACCUCCUGGAUUCAUCCUGCCUCUCCUUCCGAGUCUGCCUCCAUCUCCUAAACCUGGAAAUCUCUGGAACAAACCCACUGUAAAUAAACUCACUUACCUUUUA